Molecule: ribosomal RNA, 207 nt
Filed under: uncultured bacterium
Lineage: Bacteria
Description: partial 16S ribosomal RNA
Rfam family: Bacterial small subunit ribosomal RNA
Source: RNAcentral
GACGAACGCUGGCGGCGUGCUUAACACAUGCAAGUCGAGGGCACUUCGGGGGCAACCCUGGAGUGACCGGCGAACGGGUGCGUAACACGUGAGCGACCUUGCCUCGUGGUGGGGGAUAGCCGGCCCAACGGCCGGGUAAUACCGCAUAUGGUGGUUCUUUCGUCAUGGGAGGAACUAAGCAAAGCUGUCGGGCAACCGAUGGCGCCA